This 87-nucleotide transfer RNA is filed under the name Amplisiphonia pacifica. RNAcentral describes it as "tRNA-Leu". It matches the Rfam family "tRNA". From Rfam's summary of the family: Transfer RNA (tRNA) molecules are approximately 80 nucleotides in length. Their secondary structure includes four short double-helical elements and three loops (D, anti-codon, and T loops). Further hydrogen bonds mediate the characteristic L-shaped molecular structure. tRNAs have two regions of fundamental functional importance: the anti-codon, which is responsible for specific mRNA codon recognition, and the 3' end, to which the tRNAs corresponding amino acid is attached (by aminoacyl-tRNA synthetases). tRNAs cope with the degeneracy of the genetic code in two manners: having more than one tRNA (with a specific anti-codon) for a particular amino acid; and 'wobble' base-pairing, i.e. permitting non-standard base-pairing at the 3rd anti-codon position. Lineage: Eukaryota; Rhodophyta; Florideophyceae; Ceramiales; Rhodomelaceae. The record is from RNAcentral.
UACUCGCUUGGUGAAAAAAAGGAAAACACGAUGAAUUUAAAAUUCAUUCUUAAGUUAAGUUAUCGGUUCGAGUCCGGUAGCGAGUAU